This 379-nucleotide ribosomal RNA is filed under the name uncultured Sphingomonadales bacterium. RNAcentral describes it as "bacterial SSU rRNA". It matches the Rfam family "Bacterial small subunit ribosomal RNA", at positions 1126 to 1503 of the family's 1533-position model. Lineage: Bacteria; Pseudomonadati; Pseudomonadota; Alphaproteobacteria; Sphingomonadales. The record is from RNAcentral.
CUAAGUUGGGGACUCUAAAGGAACCGCCGGUGAUAAGCCGGAGGAAGGUGGGGAUGACGUCAAGUCCUCAUGGCCCUUACACGCUGGGCUACACACGUGCUACAAUGGCGGUGACAAUGGGCUGCAAUCCCGCGAGGGUGAGCUAAUCUCAAAAAGCCGUCCCAGUUCGGAUUGUUCUCUGCAACUCGAGAGCAUGAAGGCGGAAUCGCUAGUAAUCGUGGAUCAGCAUGCCACGGUGAAUACGUUCCCAGGCCUUGUACACACCGCCCGUCACACCAUGGGAGUUGGAUUGACCCGAAGGCAGUGGGCUAACCCGCAAGGGAGGCAGCUGACCACGGUCGGUUCAGUGACUGGGGUGAAGUCGUAACAAGGUAACCGU